AACGAACGCUGGCGGCAUGCCUAACACAUGCAAGUCGAACGAGACCUUCGGGUCUAGUGGCGCACGGGUGCGUAACGCGUGGGAAUCUGCCCUUCGGUUGGGAAUAACUGAGAGAAAUUUCAGCUAAUACCUUAUAAUGUCUUCGGACCAAAGAUUUAUCGCCGAGGGAUGAGCCCGCGUAGGAUUAGGUAGUUGGUGGGGUAAUGGCCUACCAAGCCGACGAUCCUUAGCUGGUCUGAGAGGAUGAUCAGCCACACUGGGACUGAGACACGGCCCAGACUCCUACGGGAGGCAGCAGUGGGGAAUAUUGGACAAUGGGCGAAAGCCUGAUCCAGCAAUGCCGCGUGAGUGAUGAAGGCCUUAGGGUUGUAAAGCUCUUUUACCCGGGAUGAUAAUGACAGUACCGGGAGAAUAAGCUCCGGCUAACGCCGUG
This 433-nucleotide ribosomal RNA is filed under the name uncultured bacterium. RNAcentral's name for it is "partial 16S ribosomal RNA". It matches the Rfam family "Bacterial small subunit ribosomal RNA", at positions 29 to 507 of the family's 1533-position model. The record is from RNAcentral.